RNAcentral lists this ribosomal RNA (253 nucleotides) under uncultured bacterium. Its description in RNAcentral is "partial 16S ribosomal RNA". It matches the Rfam family "Bacterial small subunit ribosomal RNA", at positions 524 to 776 of the family's 1533-position model. The record is from RNAcentral.
UACGUAGGGUGCGAGCGUUGUCCGGAAUUACUGGGCGUAAAGAGCUCGUAGGUGGCUUGUCGCGUUGUCCGUGAAAACUCACAGCUCAACUGUGGGCGUGCGGGCGAUACGGGCAGACUGGAGUACUGCAGGGGAGACUGGAAUUCCUGGUGUAGCGGUGGAAUGCGCAGAUAUCAGGAGGAACACCGGUGGCGAAGGCGGGUCUCUGGGCAGUAACUGACGCUGAGGAGCGAAAGCGUGGGGAGCGAACAGG